This 2487-nucleotide ribosomal RNA is filed under the name Triticum aestivum (bread wheat). Its description in RNAcentral is "partial small subunit ribosomal RNA". Lineage: Eukaryota; Viridiplantae; Streptophyta; Magnoliopsida; Poales; Poaceae. The record is from RNAcentral.
AUGGACCCCGAGAAGCGCGGCUACAAGUUCCAGGAGUUUGUGGCGCACGAUGCUGAAGUGAGGUCCUUGGCCAUCGGCAAGAAGUCGAGCCGUGUGUUCAUUACUGGUGGCAGUGACCGCAACGUCAACCUGUGGGCAAUUGGCAAGCAGACUCCUCUCCUGAGCUUGUCAGGCCACACAAGCUCGGUCGAGGCUGUAGAGUUUGAUACAGCAGAGGUGCUUGUGCUUGCUGGCUCAUCAAACGGCUCCAUCAAGCUCUGGGACUUGGAAGAAGCUAAAGUUGUGCGGUCUCUCACUGGGCAUAGAUCGAGUUGCACUGCUGUCGAAUUCCAUCCAUUCGGCGAAUUUUUUGCAUCUGGUUCUUCAGAUACAGAUCUUAAGAUCUGGGACAUAAAGAAAAAAGGAUGCCUUCAUACAUAUAAGGGUCACAGAGGAGCAAUUAAAUCAAUCCGAUUUACACCCGAUGGGCGAUGGAUCGUCACCGGUGGAGAAGAUAACAUUGUGAAGGUGUGGGAUCUGACAGCUGGAAAGCUCUUACAUGAUUUCAAGUUCCACAGUGGUCAAAUCCGAUGCAUUGAUUUUCAUCCUCAAGAAUUUUUGCUUGCAACAGGCUCAGCUGAUCGAACAGUGAAGUUUUGGGAUCUUGAAACUUUUGAAUUGAUAGGUUCUGCUGGACCCGAGGAUACUGGUGUACGUUCUAUGGUCUUUCACCCAGAUGGAAAAACCCUUUUCUGCGGAUUAGAGCAAAGCUUAAAGGUAUUCUCCUGGGAACCAGUAAGAUGUCAUGAUGCUGUUGACAUGCGAUGGAACAAUUUAGCUGACCUUAGUAUUUACGAAGGAAAACUGUUGGGAUGCUCGUACCAUGAACGCCGUGUUGGUGUUUGGGUUGCUGAUAUAUCACUCAUUGAACCCUAUGCUCUUGGUGUUUUGCCAAAAGCAAAUUUUUUUGCUGAGCUUGUGGAUUCUGUGGAUGAUAAUCCUGUGAAACCAAAUGGUAGCACUGCAAAGCCCAUUCGUGCUGUAGCAACAUCACAUCCAAAAAACAUGUACAAAGUCCAGGAGUCAGGAAUUGCUGAAAGCAGAGUUCGGGCCUUACAUUUAACUCCAGGAAGUACAGACAAAAUAAAGAAAGAUAGGAGCAGCAGCAUUCCUCGAAGACCUGAUUCAUCUGUCAAACCAUCUACUCCAGUACGACGUAUGAAGCCCGUCGAUAGUCCUUCCACAAAUUUAAAAACAGCAGAACGCAGUUUCGGACAGCGGGACAUCCAAUUAUUAUCUCGCACAGGGAUGGCUAUUAAUUCUUCAACCACUAAAAAAGCUCCGCCUACAGAGUCGGUAGCUGUAAAAGAUAUUUACACUACAUCACAGGCUGUUUCUGUGCCUGUUGUUGUUCCUAGAGACAUUUUGGAGGACAAAUCAGCAGGCAGUAUUCAUAGAGGAAUUGGAGGCAGAACUGCAGUCCCAGAUGAUUUUUACAGUCCAGUUCACUUGAGAAAACGUUUACCUAGUGGCGAUAGUGUCAGCUCAGUAAAAUCCAUGCUCGCUGAGCCUGAUGUUUGCUCGGAGGGUUUGUCUGGGUUAAAGUUCUCCUUUGGACUAACUCCAAAUGACAAGAAAGAAGAAUCUGAUGGUACUGAUAAAGGAGAAAUUAGACAAAUAGCAGAAAAGAUGGACAGAAUAGUAUCAUUUGAUCAUCCGGUGCAGUCAAAUGAUGACAAGGCAGCAUAUGAAUCACCGUGCUCGACGACAGGAACAGCCAGGGUCAAAUAUGUUAGAGGAGUUGCUGUGCCGUUAGGAAAAACUAAGUCUCUUGUUGAGAGAUUUGAAAAGAGAGAGAGUUCUAGCAUUGAUUGUUCAUCGCCAACUGGCUCUUGUGGUGAUCAUACAGUGAAAGCUGAUAGCCCUCCCACCAGUUUGGCAGAAGCAAGUCGCACAUAUGAAAGGGACUUGCCAACAGUGGAUGAGAUGACGAGUCCAAUCGAUUUGGUGCGGAACCAUGAUGAAUUUAUUAAUGUUGUAAAAUCUCGGUUGACAAAGCUAGAGAUGAUGCGGCAUGUCUUUAACCUAAAUGGCAUCAAAGGAGCAAUUGCUGCGGUCGCAAAGUUGCCUGAUAUCGCUGUUCAAGCUGAUGUUGUUAGUACUCUCAAGGGAAAACUUGGUCUUUUCAACCUAGAUAUUUUCUCAAGCCUUCUGCCUGUUCUUGCUGGGUUACUGAACAGCAAAACUGAAAGGCAUGCUAUUGUUGCUUUGGAAAUGUUAUUGGAUCUUAUAAAGAUUUUUGGACCGGUUAUUCAUUCAACAUUGUCAAGUAGUUCACCUGUUGGAGUAGAUCUUCAAGCCGAACAAAGGUUGCAGCGUUGCACCCGGUGUUUUAACCAUUUGCAAAAGAUUGUGCAAGCUCUACAACCGUUGAUGAUGCGGAGCGGCCAGUCGGCGCAGCUUGCUCAAGAGCUGAACAUGUCCUUGCAAGACCUGGUGGUCUUCUGA